This 604-nucleotide long non-coding RNA is filed under the name Brachypodium distachyon (stiff brome). Its description in RNAcentral is "long non-coding RNA (BDIS_LNC002594)". Lineage: Eukaryota; Viridiplantae; Streptophyta; Magnoliopsida; Poales; Poaceae. The record is from RNAcentral.
AUGAUGAUGGACCGUUUUUUUUUUUUGAGAAACUAACGAUGAUGGACCUGGCAUAGGCCGCUUGCUAGGGCUGGAGGGUGGCGUUGAUGUACCCAGGUGGGGAAAGAAGCAACAUAAAUUUUACCUUGUCUAUUGUGCCCAUCGAUCAACCUAGAUUUUUCUCUCAACAUAUUUGUGGGCACCAAUUAGGAGUUCUUGCUGCCAGUCAUGCAUGCAGGCCUCACCUGGCCAAGGCAGGUAACAGCUGGCAAGUGCUGCUAGCUAAAACCGCAUGGUAUGGCCGGCCAAUCUCUUUAAGCCGGCGGCAGGAGGAUUGAGAGGCGUCGAUGGCUGCUGGUGCCGGUGGCGGCAGCCAUACGGCCGGGCGAGAGAAAGGACGGGGACAGGACGGGGACAUGAGGGAUAGAUGGCUGUGUUUUGGUAUCAGAUCGGACGUGAGGCUUUGGUAUCAGACCGUGAGGCUUUGGUAUCAGGUCGGACGUGAGGCAAAGCCUAUUCUCAAAUAUAACAGAAUCUUAACCACCGAAUAUUAGAUUUUACGGUCAAAAUAAUUGAGGUGAUGUAGAUCAACGUGGAGUCUCCCCUCGGUACCCCUCAUAUUGUU